Molecule: ribosomal RNA, 985 nt
Filed under: human gut metagenome
Description: bacterial LSU rRNA
Rfam family: Bacterial large subunit ribosomal RNA
Source: RNAcentral
ACGGUCCUAAGGUAGCGAAAUUCCUUGUCGGGUAAGUUCCGACCUGCACGAAUGGCAUAACGAUGGCCACACUGUCUCCUCCCGAGACUCAGUGAAGUUGAAAUGUUUGUGAUGAUGCAAUCUACCCGCGGCUAGACGGAAAGACCCCAUGAACCUUUACUGCAGCUUUGCAUUGAACUGUGAACCGAUUUGUGUAGGAUAGGUGGGAGGCAGAGAAGAGGCCACGCCAGUGGCCUUGGAGCCGACCUUGAAAUACCACCCUGAUUUGUUUGCGGUUCUAACCACGGACAGUGAUCCUGUCUUGGGACCGUGCAUGGUAGGCAGUUUGACUGGGGCGGUCGCCUCCUAAAGGGUAACGGAGGAGUACGAAGGUACGCUAGGUACGGUCGGAAAUCGUGCUGAUAGUGCAAUGGCAAAAGCGUGCUUGACUGCGAGAGCAACAACUCGAGCAGAUGCGAAAGCAGGCCCAAGUGAUCCGGCGGUAGAAAGUGGAAUUGCCGUCGCUCAACGGAUAAAAGGUACCUUAGGGAUAACAGGCUGAUCACGCCCAAGAGUUCAUAUCGACGGCGGUGUUUGGCACCUCGAUGUCGGCUCAUCGCAUCCUGGGGCUGUAGUCGGUCCCAAGGGUAUGGCUGUUCGCCAUUUAAAGAGGUACGUGAGCUGGGUUUAAAACGUCGUGAGACAGUUUGGUCCCUAUCUGCCGUGGGCGUUGGAAGAUUGACGGGGGCUGCUCCUAGUACGAGAGGACCGGAGUGGACGCACCUCUGGUGUACCGGUUGUCACGCCAGUGGCAUUGCCGGGUAGCUAAGUGCGGAAGAGAUAACCGCUGAAAGCAUCUAAGCGGGAAACUUGCCUGAAGAUGAGUCUUCCCGGAGGUUGAACCUCCCUCAAGAGUCGUCCGAGACCAGGACGUCGAUAGGUCAGGUGUGUAAGCGCUGUAAGGCGUUGAGCUAACUGAUACUAAUUGCUCGUGAGGCUUGAUCCU